AGUGGCGACCGGGUGAGUAACACGUGACUACCUACCUUCGAGUGGGGGAUAACUCCGGGAAACCGGAGCUAAUACCGCAUAACCGCAGGCAAAGCAGCGCUUGAAGAGGGGGUCGCGGCUGAUUAGCUAGUUGGCGGGGUAACGGCCCACCAAGGCGAUGAUCGGUAGCCGGCCUGAGAGGGCGCACGGCCACACUGGAACUGAAACACGGUCCAGACUCCUACGGGAGGCAGCAGUGGGGAAUUUUGCGCAAUGGGGGAAACCCUGACGCAGCAACGCCGCGUGGAGGAUGAAGUCCCUUGGGACGUAAACUCCUUUCGACUGGGAAGAUUGACGGUACCAGUGGAAGAAGCCCCGGCUAACUUCGUGCCAGCAGCCGCGGUAAUACGAGGGGGGCAAGCGUUGUUCGGAAUUAUUGGGCGUAAAGGGCGCGUAUGCGGUGCGGUAAGUCACCUGUGAAACCUCUGGGCUCAACUCAGAGCCUGCAGGCGAAAC
Molecule: ribosomal RNA, 495 nt
Filed under: uncultured soil bacterium
Lineage: Bacteria
Description: bacterial SSU rRNA
Rfam family: Bacterial small subunit ribosomal RNA
Source: RNAcentral